CAAUAAUGAGCAUUUCUCAAAUUCCACUAGGAUUCUCCCUCCCUGUUUGCAUUCUCUGAUGGACUUGAUUGAUGGAAGCUUUACCAUCACCACAACCAGUUUUACAUGACUGUCCACAAAAAGAUACCAGGAUUCCUAGGCUCAGAACUGCCAUAACACAAAAAGGACUUUCCUCUUAUACACGCUCAGCCUGCCUUCCCUCCUAUGAACCCAGUCUCAGCAAGGAUCAUGUUGGGGCUCAUGACCCAAGGAAAGGGGAUCAGAUUAGUGGCUCUCCAGAGUCACCCAUUCUGUGGACAAGAAAACCUGAAACCAAGAGGUUAAAUGGAGUUCUCAGAAUAACAUGCCAGCAGGGACUCGUUGGCGCUGGGCCUGGGGAUGCCUGGUGUGGGACCUGCAAACUUUUGUCACACCAUGGACUCUUCUAUACUUUACUCUCUGUGUUUUGGCUAAAAAACCCACAGUGGCUGUUUGGCUCACGCAGCCUAUUUUAGGGUGCAUUCUAGAUUUCAUUAAGGAUAUGGAAACAAAGCAUAAAAUGAGGUUUGAUGUCAAGAAAGAAUGAAAAGAGAAGACAUGCCCCAGACCACUGGGUCCCAGCACCCUGUGACCUUGGAGUGUGUGGGGGAGGCCCCUGCCAGGAAGAGGUGCCUGGGUGCUUGGUACUCUGGUGCUGUCCACCAGGAACCAACCACACCUGCUACAGAUCUGCCAGAUCAGGCUUGAGCAGGGAGCAACAUGUGUCUUCCUCGGAAUGCAAAACCAAGCCAAAAAACGAAGAAAGCAAGCUCUAUGACCCAACAACCCUCCUGUGGCUGUGCCGUCCAGAAUGGCAGCAACCAGCACACGUGGCUCCUGAGCAGCUGAAAUACAACCAAAGGAAGGUGUGCUGUAAGUGUGAACUCCCCAGGGGACUCCAAAGCCUUAGUGCAAGACAGAACGCAAAGCACCUCAUUAAAAAUGCUCACGAUGACUGCAGGUUAAGGUACUUUAGAUAUAUUUCGGCCAAAUUAAAUGCAUAAUUAAGAUUAA
Molecule: long non-coding RNA, 1032 nt
Filed under: Marmota monax (woodchuck)
Lineage: Eukaryota; Metazoa; Chordata; Mammalia; Rodentia; Sciuridae
Source: RNAcentral